Molecule: ribosomal RNA, 1379 nt
Filed under: human gut metagenome
Description: bacterial LSU rRNA
Rfam family: Bacterial large subunit ribosomal RNA
Source: RNAcentral
GCUUGGAAGCAGCCAUUCAUUUAAAGAGUGCGUAACAGCUCACUAGUCGAGGAGUCGGGCGUGGAUAAUAAUCGGGUAUCAAGUUGUCUACCGAAGCAGUGGGAUCAUUUAUAUGAUCGGUAGGGGAGCAUUCCAGUCAGCGUCGAAGGCGUACCGUGAGGUAUUCUGGAGCGUCUGGAAAAGCAAAUGUAGGUAUAAGUAACGAUAAAGGGGGCGGGAAACCCCCUCGCCGAAAGACUAAGGUUUCCUGAUCAACGCUAAUCGGAUCAGGGUCAGUCGGGUCCUAAGGCUCAGCCGAACGGCGAUGCCGAUGGCAGAAACGGUUAAUAUUCCGUUACUACCUUCAGGAGUGACGUGGAGACGCAGUAGUGACAGUGCCGCCAUCUGACGGAAUAGAUGGUUGAAGGGUGUAGGAGUCGAUCAUGGCAGGCAAAUCCACCAUGAGAUCCGAACCUGAUAGUAUGCCGCGUCCUUCGGGACAAGGCAAUAGUGCGCGUAAGCAUGCUGCCGAGAAAAUCCGCUAAACUUAAUCCUGCAGGUACCCGUACCGCAAACGGACACACGUAGUCGGGUUGAAUAUACUAAGGCGCUUGAGUGAUUCACGGUUAAGGAACUAGGCAAACUGACCCUGUAACUUCGGGAUAAAGGGUCCCUACCCUUUUAUGGGAGGGCGCAGAGAAUCGGUCCAGGCAACUGUUUAACAAAAACACAGGGCUGUGCCAAAUCGAAAGAUCCAGUAUACAGCCUGACACCUGCCCGGUGCUGGAAGGUUAAGAGGAGAUGUCAUCGAUAAGAGAAGCGUUGAAUUGAAGCCCCAGUAAACGGCGGCCGUAACUAUAACGGUCCUAAGGUAGCGAAAUUCCUUGUCGGGUAAGUUCCGACCUGCACGAAUGGUGUAAUGAUCUGGACGCUGUCUCAACCGUGAGCUCAGUGAAAUUGUAGUAUCGGUGAAGAUGCCGAUUACCCGCGAUGGGACGAAAAGACCCCGUGAACCUUUACUAUAGCUUAUCAUUGAAUCUGGGCACGUGAUGUGUAGGAUAGGUCGGAGGCUUUGAAGCAGGUACGCCAGUAUUUGUGGAGCCGCUGUUGAAAUACGACCCUUUAUUUGUUUGGAUUCUAACCCGUGGAUACGGGGACAUUGAUUGGUGGGUAGUUUGACUGGGGUGGUCGCCUCCAAAAGCGUAACGGAGGCUUCUAAAGGUGCCCUCCGGCCGAUUGGUAACCGGCCUUAGAGUGUAAUGGCAUAAGGGCGCUUGACUGGGAGACUGACAAGUCGAUCAGGUAGGAAACUAGAGCAUAGUGAUCCGGUGUUUCCGUAUGGAAGGGACAUCGCUCAAAGGAUAAAAGGUACUCCGGGGAUAACAGGCUGAUCCCUCCCA